GAUGAACGCUGGCGGCGUGCUUAACACAUGCAAGUCGAACGGAACUGUUUGAAUGAAGUUUUCGGAUGGAUUUUAAACAGUUUAGUGGCGGUACGGGUGAGUAACGCGUGGGUAACCUGCCUCACACUUGGGGGAUAACAGUUAGAAAUAGCUGCUAAUACCGCAUAAUGCAUUGGAUUCGCAUGUUUCUGAUGCCAAAGAUUUUAUCGCUGAAAGAUGAGCUCGCGUCUGAUUAGCUAGUUGGCGGGGUAACGGCCCACCAAGUCGACGAUCAGUAGCCGGACUGAGAGGUUGACCGGCCACAUUGGGACUGAGAUACGGCCCAG
RNAcentral lists this ribosomal RNA (326 nucleotides) under uncultured bacterium. Its description in RNAcentral is "bacterial SSU rRNA". It matches the Rfam family "Bacterial small subunit ribosomal RNA", at positions 28 to 334 of the family's 1533-position model. The record is from RNAcentral.